GCCAGUGUGGCGUAGUGGUUUGAGUGUUGGACUAUGACUGUAGAGAUCAGGGUUUGAUUCUCCUCUCAGCCA
RNAcentral lists this transfer RNA (72 nucleotides) under Phrynosoma platyrhinos (Desert horned lizard). Its description in RNAcentral is "tRNA-OTHER". The record is from RNAcentral. Lineage: Eukaryota; Metazoa; Chordata; Lepidosauria; Squamata; Phrynosomatidae.